CUCCUCUCAGGAUCACACCUGGAGAGUUUCCAGUACUCUACCAGUCUCGGCUAUGGGAAGGAAAGUCAACCAGAUACAUAUCCAUUCCAUUCCUAGCUUGGACAGUGGCUAGCGAGUGGAAGGCAAUCUGCUACAAGU
Molecule: small nucleolar RNA, 138 nt
Filed under: Ornithorhynchus anatinus (platypus)
Lineage: Eukaryota; Metazoa; Chordata; Mammalia; Monotremata; Ornithorhynchidae
Source: RNAcentral